CAUCCCGCCCCGCUCACGGCCAACGUCGACCCCUCCGACUACCGCACAUCGCGCCGAUGCCCCCGCCCGCCGCAAAUCGCGCCGCCACCCCCGCCUGCCGCACAUCACAGCCCCCCAUCCGAAGUGCCACCGCCGCGCGACUGUACUACCGCGCUCGACCCGCCCGCAGGCAGUCCCGCCGUGACGCCCGACGCCGCGAUGCUGUCCCCGCCGCGGAUUCCCCACGGGCGCGACGCCCGACGCCACGGCGGCCGCCAUCUCCGCCGCCGAUCCCCCACGCGCGGCGCGCGCGACUCCGGCCGCACCGCCGUGACUACCAUCGUUCCCGACGGCCCGCGCGCGACUCCCGCAUCCCCCACACGUCGGCAGCAAAGGGUGAGGGCGGACGAUGAAAGCUCAUGAGAAGGCGAGGCGAGGGGAUGCAGCCCAAGAUUAGCGCGUUCUUCAAGCGGAGGAAAUGGCCCCAGAUCCGAACAGGUUCUUCUUCUUCUUUCCCCAUUCGAAUCGAUAACCCUCGGUACCUAAUCCUGCUGUAUCCAAUUGUUGUGACGUCUGACAAAAUAAUGCACGGAGAAGAUGCAUUGGCACAUGUGCUACGUGGGGAGAAGCAACUUGUGAUUCCAUUCUCAUUUCUGUGAGUUUUCGCAGUGGCGAUGGCGAGGGCCACGGGCAGGGAAGAGGCGGCAGCGCUGCAGCGGAGGAGAAGCGGAAGCCCAAGGGCGGCGGGCGCGGCGCGCUUGUUAGCAAGAAGAGGAGCUAUGCGUAGUUUCAUCUGGAGCUAGGGUAGCCUGAUUUCGUCCUCCACACCUGCUCUGUCUGCAGCAUGAUGUACGCCCAUGGGAACGACAAUGGCGAAAAGGUUCACAAGGCGUACCAUAAGAGAUACUUCGAGGGAGUCCCGUUCAAGGUCUUGUCGUUCACUUGCUCUCUGCAUCAUAGUCUUGUUGCGUGCAUCUUUGGAGAGCGUCUUACUAACCGAUUAGCUGCAGGGAUAGCAAAAUGAAACUGUGAUAGCAAGGUCUGUAGGCGGAGACCGGGUAAUUCUCACGAUUGAUGAAAAACUCUCAUAUGUGGAAUAGUAAGGUACAACUAAAACUCAAUUCCUUGUGUUAAAAAUGUUAUGAGCACAACAAUUUCAUCAAUGGUACGGUCAGUUUUGGAUCACAGCAGAAACAAGAGGUUGUGAUUGAGUUUUUGUGUGAUGAUCAUGUCAGUCCAUUAGAGUUAGGUACUGUAAUUUGGAUGCCAAGACCUUUUAGGUGCAAGGGAAUACAGGAUUGUCUUCAUUGAUGUUGAAUUAAUUUGAUGAAAAACUUGGACUUAGGUUAUGGUUGAUUUAAUUGGAUGCUCCUUUCCUGACCUGAUGUGCUCAAGUUUCAUCAGUUAGGUACUCUGCUUAAUAGUAGCAAAUAUGACUUGUAUCAGUUUCAUAUAGUUUAUCAUGGAACCUGGUGUGCUCAGCCUGCAUACAGAGGUACAUUAUCUUUUAUUAGCAGCCAUUUUCAUGUUUAUAUAGGUUUUAGUAGCAUCAAGCAUCUCAACUACAUGAUAUUCUUAUCUGAUUCACUCAUUUUUUUCUCAGGAAUGAUCGGCCUAAUUUAAAGUUCACUUCUUUUUUAUACCAACGAAGAUUUGUUUCCUUAUAUUACAUUUCUGGGUAAAUGCGUAAUGCAUGUCCAUAACCUGAUGCUAUAGUGCAAGUAUUUAAGUUCAUCUUCUCAGAUUUGGGUCCAUGAUAGUUGAGACAUUUGUUCAUGUGGCCUUCUCUCUCUGCAAAUUCCUCUGAGUAAUGGUUUUAGGAUGGCAUGGCCAUAGAGAAAAGCUAUCAGGUUCACAUGGAUAACAAACUCAUCUUGAAAAAAUUGAUCAGAAUUCGAGUAGGAAUCUAGGCGGGAUCACAUGCAGGAGAUGGUCACCGUUUGUUUGUUUAAGUGUGGAGAAGGUUGAUGAGUAAUGAAUCAAAAAUGACACGAAGAAAGACAUAGUGAAAAUGCCUCUAACCUGCAGGAGUAUGAGCCUUCGAUGAGAUCAUGCAUAUUUUAUACUGGGUGGCUAUGGUCCGCCGCCCUCCCCCUCACUCCAAGAGCCCAGACAUUCGCCUCCGUCGUCGCACCAUCCCACCAAGCUCCCACCGUGCGUGGCAUGCCUCCCCACCAACCGCCGCUUUGCUGUAAACCCGCAGCCGCGCCGCCGCCCCAGUUCUGCCACGAGAUGCCGCGCCGAGUUACAGCGGAAAGGUGUUUGCCAUGUCUCGCGUUAUGGCGGCAUGGCAGCCAAUAGGCGUAUCAAUGGGAGUUUUUGACAUGUGCCAUAGGUGUAUAUCACAUCACCAUAUCUGCUUUUAGUUUAUUCAUUCUGAUCUAUGUAAGACUCCCAAUAUCUCUCAAUCUGUAGUUAUCUUUUUGAAAGAAAUAAAGAAAGAAAGCAAUUUGGAGCUCCAGUGGAAGCUUUUCAGCUCAACCAAGAAAAGCUUGUUCGGAUGCUCGGCAACAUUCAUACCAUGGUUCUCGUUGGCGGGCGACUGUGAGUCAGGCAAAAUGGCAUCAGGCCAUAGUAGUUUAGGCAAGGUUUGUAAGUUGCAAUAUAGCCAGCAAUGGUUGAACGGUUCGCUCAUCUUGAGCCCAGUGAUGUUUUCUUAAUCAGUUUUUUUU
This is a long non-coding RNA of Panicum virgatum (switchgrass), 2651 nucleotides long. RefSeq lists it as uncharacterized. The transcript is spliced from 4 exons. The record is from RefSeq and is a predicted model, not a curated record. Lineage: Eukaryota; Viridiplantae; Streptophyta; Magnoliopsida; Poales; Poaceae.